GACGAACGCUGGCGGCGUGCUUAACACAUGCAAGUCGAACGCUGAAGCUCAGCUUUUGUUGGGUGGAUGAGUGGCGAACGGGUGAGUAACACGUGAGUAACCUGCCCCCUUCUUUGGGAUAACGCCCGGAAACGGGUGCUAAUACUGGAUAUUCACUGGUCUUCGCAUGGGGGUUGGUGGAAAGGGUUUUUCUGGUGGGGGAUGGGCUCGCGGACUAUCAGCUUGUUGGUGGGGUGAUGGCCUACCAAGGCUUUGACGGGUAGCCGGCCUGAGGGGGUGACCGGUCACAGUGGGACUGAGAUACGGCCCAGACUCCUACGGGGGGCAGCAGUGGGGAAUAAUGCACAAUGGGCGCAAGCCUGAUGCAGCGACGCCGCGUGAGGGGUGGAGGCCUGCGGGUUGUGAACCUCUUUCGCUCAUGGUCAAGCCGCAACAAUGGUUGUGGUGAGGGUAGUGGGUAAAGAAGCGCCGGCUAACUACGUG
Molecule: ribosomal RNA, 483 nt
Filed under: uncultured bacterium
Lineage: Bacteria
Description: partial 16S ribosomal RNA
Rfam family: Bacterial small subunit ribosomal RNA
Source: RNAcentral